This 73-nucleotide transfer RNA is filed under the name Camelus bactrianus (Bactrian camel). It matches the Rfam family "tRNA". Rfam says of the family: Transfer RNA (tRNA) molecules are approximately 80 nucleotides in length. Their secondary structure includes four short double-helical elements and three loops (D, anti-codon, and T loops). Lineage: Eukaryota; Metazoa; Chordata; Mammalia; Artiodactyla; Camelidae. RNAcentral also lists the same sequence under 2 other names. The record is from Rfam by way of RNAcentral.
GAGGGUAUAGCCCAAGUGGUAGAGCACAUGCUUAGCACACACGAGGUCCUGGGUUCAAUCCCCAGUGCCUCCU